RNAcentral lists this ribosomal RNA (301 nucleotides) under uncultured bacterium. RNAcentral describes it as "partial 16S ribosomal RNA". It matches the Rfam family "Bacterial small subunit ribosomal RNA", at positions 509 to 807 of the family's 1533-position model. The record is from RNAcentral.
CAGUAGCCGCGGUAAUACGUAGGGUGCAAGCGUUAAUCGGAAUUACUGGGCGUAAAGCGUGCGCAGGCGGUUUGUUAAGACAGAUGUGAAAUCCCCGGGCUCAACCUGGGAACUGCAUUUGUGACUGGCAGGCUAGAGUAUGGCAGAGGGGGGUGGAAUUCCGCGUGUAGCAGUGAAAUGCGUAGAUAUGCGGAGGAACACCGAUGGCGAAGGCAGCCCCCUGGGCCAAUACUGACGCUCAUGCACGAAAGCGUGGGGAGCAAACAGGAUUAGAUACCCGGGUAGUCCCUGUCUCUUAUAC